RNAcentral lists this small RNA (810 nucleotides) under Pan troglodytes (chimpanzee). RNAcentral describes it as "retained intron". Lineage: Eukaryota; Metazoa; Chordata; Mammalia; Primates; Hominidae. The record is from RNAcentral.
GCUCAGGUAAGUCACCGCAGCCUUGGCAAGGGGGUGUGGGAGCGGUGGUCCGCUUCGGCGCCCGCCUCCCGCCGUCGGCAGGGAUCUCCCUCUUGGUGCCAGGUACCUGCCUACUGCUCUGUCGCCGAAAGUAGGGGAAAGGGCAAGCCAGGGUGCCCUAGGGCGAAACUAGGGGAAAGGUCACCGCUUCGCGCCGCCUCCCCGCGCGGCUCUCGCCUGUGCUCCCCUUGACACAGCGGAAGUCCCUUCCCUGGACUUGCUAACCGUCUCUUUUCCCAGCUGGCUCUGGACAAGUCAGAUUCCCACCCCUCUGACGCUCUGACCAGGAAAAAAUCGGCCAAGGCGGUAGGUAGCCCCGAGGCCAGGUGGACCUUAGCCAGACCCAACCAGAGCCCUGAAAUUCGCCUCUCUCUGCCCAGGAAUCUAAGUCCUUUGCUGUGGGAAUGUUCAAAGGCCAGCUCACCACAGAUCAGGUGUUCCCAUACCCGUCCGUGCUCAACGAAGAGCAGACACAGUUUCUUAAAGAGCUGGUGGAGCCUGUGUCCCGUUUCUUCGAGGAAGUGAACGAUCCUGCCAAGAAUGACGCUCUGGAGAUGGUGGAGGAGACCACUUUGCAGGGCCUCAAGGAGCUGGGGGCCUUUGGUCUGCAAGUGCCCAGUGAGCUGGGUGGUGUGGGCCUUUGCAACACCCAGUACGCCCGUUUGGUGGAGAUCGUGGGCAUGCAUGACCUUGGCGUGGGCAUUACCCUGGGGGCCCAUCAGAGCAUCGGUUUCAAAGGCAUCCUGCUCUUUGGCACAAAGGCCCAGAAAG